This 514-nucleotide ribosomal RNA is filed under the name uncultured Diversispora. Its description in RNAcentral is "SSU rRNA". It matches the Rfam family "Eukaryotic small subunit ribosomal RNA", at positions 569 to 1082 of the family's 1831-position model. Lineage: Eukaryota; Fungi; Glomeromycota; Glomeromycetes; Diversisporales; Diversisporaceae. The record is from RNAcentral.
AGCAGCCGCGGUAAUUCCAGCUCCAAUAGCGUAUAUUAAAGUUGUUGCAGUUAAAAAGCUCGUAGUUGAACUUCGGGGUUCACCCAUUGGUCAGGCUUAAUUGUCUGCACUGGUGAGAUGAGUCUCUACCUUCUGAGGAACUUUCAUGUCAUUAAUUUGGUGUGAUGGGAAAUCAGGACUGUUACUUUGAAAAAAUUAGAGUGUUUAAAGCAGGCUAACGUCUGAAUACAUUAGCAUGGAAUAAUGAAAUAGGACGGACUGAUUCUAUUUCGUUGGUUUCUAGGAUCACCGUAAUGAUUAAUAGGGAUAGUUGGGGGCAUUAGUAUUCAAUUGUCAGAGGUGAAAUUCUUGGAUUUAUUGAAGACUAACUACUGCGAAAGCAUUUGCCAAGGAUGUUUUCAUUAAUCAAGAACGAAAGUUAGGGGAUCGAAGACGAUCAGAUACCGUCGUAGUCUUAACCAUAAACUAUGCCGACUAGGGAUCGGACGAAGUUAAUUUUAUAAUGACGCGUUUC